CCUACGGGCGACAGCAGUGGGGAAUAUUGGGCAAUGGGCGCAAGCCUGACCCAGCAAUGCCGCGUGAAGGAAGAAGGCUUUCGGGUUGUAAACUUCUUUUAUAAAGGAAUAAAGUGAGGCACGUGUGCCUUUUUGUAUGUACUUUAUGAAUAAGGAUCGGCUAACUCCGUGCCAGCAGCCGCGGUAAUACGGAGGAUCCGAGCGUUAUCCGGAUUUAUUGGGUUUAAAGGGAGCGUAGGCGGAUUUUUAAGUCAGCGGUAAAAUGUCCGGGCUCAACCCGGGCCGGCCGUUGAAACUGGGGAUCUUGAGUGGGCGAGAAGUAUGCGGAAUGCGUGGUGUAGCGGUGAAAUGCAUAGAUAUCACGCAGAACUCCGAUUGCGAAGGCAGCAUACCGGCGCCCGACUGACGCUGAGGCACGAAAGCGUGGGGAUCGAACAGGAUUAGAUACCCGUGUAGUC
Molecule: ribosomal RNA, 458 nt
Filed under: uncultured bacterium
Lineage: Bacteria
Description: partial 16S ribosomal RNA
Rfam family: Bacterial small subunit ribosomal RNA
Source: RNAcentral